GAUGAAGAACGCAGCGAAAUGCGAUAAGUAAUGUGAAUUGCAGAAUUCAGUGAAUCAUCGAAUCUUUGAACGCACAUUGCGCCCGCUAGUAUUCUGGCGGGCAUGCCUGUCCGAGCGUCAUUUCAACCCUCAAGCCCCCGGGCUUGGUGUUGGGGAUCGGCGAGCCUCCGCGCCCGCCGUCCCCUAAAUAUAGUGGCGGUCUCGCUGUAGCUUCCUCUGCGUAGUAGCACACCUCGCACUGGGAAACAGCGCGGCCACGCCGUUAAACCCCCAACUUCUGAACGUUUGACCUCGGAUCAGGUAGGAAUACCCGCUGAACUUAAGCAUAUCAAUAAGCGGAGGA
Molecule: unclassified non-coding RNA, 343 nt
Filed under: soil metagenome
Description: partial contains 5.8S ribosomal RNA, internal transcribed spacer 2, and large subunit ribosomal RNA
Rfam family: 5.8S ribosomal RNA (bases 1-120)
Source: RNAcentral